Molecule: long non-coding RNA, 272 nt
Filed under: Malus domestica (apple)
Lineage: Eukaryota; Viridiplantae; Streptophyta; Magnoliopsida; Rosales; Rosaceae
Description: long non-coding RNA (MDOM_LNC000982)
Source: RNAcentral
AUCUCUCUCCUCUCUCAUUCCUCUCUCUCUCUACCCAAAACGCAGACGCACAAGCCAUGGAACGCAAGAAUUCUCUCCUCCCUCACCUCCUCACCUUUCUCUCUCUUCACCUCCUCCUCCUACUUUUCUCUCCGAUCGCCGCCGCUAAGCUCACGAACCCUCUCGGGCUCGCCAGGUCCAGCUUCCCAUCCGUGCACGCAAAGCAGCUGAUCAGAGCCUUCAAUCUCUUCCCCGAGGAAGACAUCAACAUCAUCGACGGCCCCGAUUCCUCC